UAGAUAUUUCAUUCGUGUCCUUGAGAG
This 27-nucleotide small RNA is filed under the name Bombyx mori (domestic silkworm). RNAcentral describes it as "ovarian small RNA-22097". The record is from RNAcentral. Lineage: Eukaryota; Metazoa; Arthropoda; Insecta; Lepidoptera; Bombycidae.